UUAUUUAAAAUUCCCAAAAGUUGGAAUCUGUAUAGAUUUAAAGUCUACAUUGGGUAAAUCUGCUUUGGGCCAAAGUAAUUAGAAAUGGAUUUAAUUUUCCUUGAACCCAUAUUUUGAAAUUUUAAAAGUAUUCUGCUUUCUUUGAAAGAAGACCCCCAAAAAUGUUUUGCUUUACGGUCAGAAGAGGUGAGACCAUAGAUCUAAUAAUCGUUUCUUUGUAUCCAUAAUCCCCUCUCGUUUUUCAAAUAAAUGGGGUUUUAUAUGGAAGCAUUAAUUUAGCUGAGGGGUUGAAAAUAGAACAAAUUAAUCAAAGGAACCUAGGGGUUUUUAUAUGCAAAAAAUCAGUUGUGGAAAUUAUAAAAUGGUUCAAAAGAUAUAUAUUGUCUAUAACGUUUUCCUGUAGCAAAAACUACCACCAUCUUCAAAUAAAUUUUCCAGAUUGCACUUUCUUGAAAACUUUUCUAAAUUCCAUUAUGCCUAAAUAGCAACUUAAUUAAAACCCGAAUCGAAAGUUUUCAAAGCCUGAAAACCCAGUCACUGAUGGAUGGCAUGAAAAAGAAUGCGAAAGGAAUUAAAACCCAUUUCUGCGAGAGAGAAAAUUGAUAAAAUGAAGACUUAAGCGAUUUGUUUGGUUCGUGUGGGGAAUCUCCAGCGAAUCGCUUUUUUGGAACGUGCUUGGAAUAUCCAAAAAGGAAGAGCGAGGGAGAGGAGAGGGAAACUACUACUCCUACUCCUACUACAGUGGCGAUUCAGGGAUUUGGUGUGGGGUGAGCAUCACUCUAUCCAUCUAUCUCUUUUGCCCCAUUAUUGUAUCUCUCUCUCAGUCGCUCCACCGAAUAUAUGUAUAUGUUCCGCCUCUUUCCGCCCGCCGUCACUUGAGUUGCAAUUUGCAAGGCGCGCCAGCUUUCCAUAUCCCUUUCCGGCACAGCUCCAUCCAUCUGUCCCAUCCUCCAUUCUUAAUAUAAUUAUUGUUGCUGUCUGGCGCUGAAAAUUAUGAAAAUUAUCAACUUGAUGCUACAUCACCCCAGAAAACAAAAAACAAAAAAAACCCCAUGUAGAUGUAGAUGGAAAAUCCACGCAAAUUUCCCUCUAAAACAAUCAUCCGAAAGGAAGUCAUUUGCAUGGAGACGGUGUGGGACGCGGACCCUACAGAAAUCACAAAUAUGUAUGCAAUGGUUUUGGCUUGGGGCACUUUAAUUAUCCAACAUAAGAAGGAAGCAAAUAAGCCAACAAAAUGCAAAAUAGCAGCCGAGCACAACACAAAAUUCAAUUAAAAAUGGAAUCCCCGGAAAUUCCUUGUUGUAAGCGGGGCCGGGCCGGGCCCUCCCCUUCCGCCUACCCAGAAAAAUGUCGAAAAGCCAUAUUGUCAAAAAAGGCAAAUUGUUCAACUGCCACGAAGGUGGCAGGGAAAACAUGUGGCCAAUAAAUUUUGGCCAAGGCCAGCCAAGGCCCUGAAACAACAAAGCAAAGGGCGAGAGAGCAAGAGAACAAGAGAAGGGAAAAUGGAAAGCGGUGGAGUGGAGGAGAGGAGAGAAGAAAAAUCUGAUGCUGCUGCUGCUGCUGUUGCUGCUCCCCCGUAAUCCCAACUUAAGGGUCCGUGCUGACCAGCGGGGAAAAAGUCACCGCUGGCGAGGAUUGGAUUCUUCUACUGUGUCCUAGUGCCGCUCCAGGACCCUCGCUGGCUGCUGCCCGGCUGCCCUGCCCAGGAGCGCUGAUUAACGCACUCGAGCGCAAUCUGCCUCACUUCACUUUUAUGCAAACACAAAACAGAAAUACGAGCAUAAAGGCACAGAGCACAAAAAUAAAAUAGAGCCUCAUGGCUCCUCUCCACCUCCACCUCCAUCUCCUCCUCCGACUGUCUCUGGCUGUCUGUCUGUCUUUCGGGCCUAUCUUGAUGGCAGCAUGGAAAUG
This is a long non-coding RNA of Drosophila miranda, 1911 nucleotides long. RefSeq lists it as uncharacterized. NCBI's taxonomy places the organism in Eukaryota, Metazoa, Arthropoda, Insecta, Diptera, Drosophilidae. The transcript has 3 exons. The record is from RefSeq and is a predicted model, not a curated record.